UACAGAGGAUGCAAGCGUUAUCCGGAAUGAUUGGGCGUAAAGCGUCCGUAGGUGGUUUGUCAAGUCUGUGGUUAAAGCGUGGAGUUUAACUCCAUAAAGGCCAUGGAAACUGACAGACUAGAGUUAAGUAGGGGUAGAGGGAAUUCCCAGUGUAGCGGUGAGAUGCGUAGAGAUUGGGAAGAACACCGGUGGCGAAAACGCUCUACUGGACUUAUACUGACACUGAGGGACGAAAGCUAGGGGAGCGAAAGGG
RNAcentral lists this ribosomal RNA (253 nucleotides) under uncultured bacterium. RNAcentral describes it as "partial 16S ribosomal RNA". It matches the Rfam family "Bacterial small subunit ribosomal RNA", at positions 524 to 776 of the family's 1533-position model. The record is from RNAcentral.